UUAAAUUGAAGAGUUUGAUCAUGGCUCAGAUUGAACGCUGGCGGCAGGCCUAACACAUGCAAGUCGAACGGUAACAGGAAGCAGCUUGCUGCUUCGCUGACGAGUGGCGGACGGGUGAGUAAUGUCUGGGAAACUGCCUGAUGGAGGGGGAUAACUACUGGAAACGGUGGCUAAUACCGCAUAACGUCGCAAGACCAAAGAGGGGGACCUUCGGGCCUCUUGCCAUCAGAUGUGCCCAGAUGGGAUUAGCUUGUUGGUGAGGUAACGGCUCACCAAGGCGACGAUCCCUAGCUGGUCUGAGAGGAUGACCAGCCACACUGGAACUGAGACACGGUCCAGACUCCUACGGGAGGCAGCAGUGGGGAAUAUUGCACAAUGGGCGCAAGCCUGAUGCAGCCAUGCCGCGUGUAUGAAGAAGGCCUUCGGGUUGUAAAGUACUUUCAGCGGGGAGGAAGGUGUUGUGGUUAAUAACCACAGCAAUUGACGUUACCCGCAGAAGAAGCACCGGCUAACUCCGUGCCAGCAGCCGCGGUAAUACGGAGGGUGCAAGCGUUAAUCGGAAUUACUGGGCGUAAAGCGCACGCAGGCGGUCUGUCAAGUCGGAUGUGAAAUCCCCGGGCUCAACCUGGGAACUGCAUUCGAAACUGGCAGGCUUGAGUCUUGUAGAGGGGGGUAGAAUUCCAGGUGUAGCGGUGAAAUGCGUAGAGAUCUGGAGGAAUACCGGUGGCGAAGGCGGCCCCCUGGACAAAGACUGACGCUCAGGUGCGAAAGCGUGGGGAGCAAACAGGAUUAGAUACCCUGGUAGUCCACGCCGUAAACGAUGUCUACUUGGAGGUUGUGCCCUUGAGGCGUGGCUUCCGGAGCUAACGCGUUAAGUAGACCGCCUGGGGAGUACGGCCGCAAGGUUAAAACUCAAAUGAAUUGACGGGGGCCCGCACAAGCGGUGGAGCAUGUGGUUUAAUUCGAUGCAACGCGAAGAACCUUACCUGGUCUUGACAUCCACAGAACUUUCCAGAGAUGGAUUGGUGCCUUCGGGAACUGUGAGACAGGUGCUGCAUGGCUGUCGUCAGCUCGUGUUGUGAAAUGUUGGGUUAAGUCCCGCAACGAGCGCAACCCUUAUCCUUUGUUGCCAGCGGUUAGGCCGGGAACUCAAAGGAGACUGCCAGUGAUAAACUGGAGGAAGGUGGGGAUGACGUCAAGUCAUCAUGGCCCUUACGACCAGGGCUACACACGUGCUACAAUGGCGCAUACAAAGAGAAGCGACCUCGCGAGAGCAAGCGGACCUCAUAAAGUGCGUCGUAGUCCGGAUUGGAGUCUGCAACUCGACUCCAUGAAGUCGGAAUCGCUAGUAAUCGUGGAUCAGAAUGCCACGGUGAAUACGUUCCCGGGCCUUGUACACACCGCCCGUCACACCAUGGGAGUGGGUUGCAAAAGAAGUAGGUAGCUUAACCUUCGGGAGGGCGCUUACCACUUUGUGAUUCAUGACUGGGGUGAAGUCGUAACAAGGUAACCGUAGGGGAACCUGCGGUUGGAUCACCUCCUUACCUGAAAGAA
This 1554-nucleotide ribosomal RNA is filed under the name Salmonella enterica subsp. enterica serovar Braenderup. RNAcentral's name for it is "bacterial SSU rRNA". It matches the Rfam family "Bacterial small subunit ribosomal RNA". Lineage: Bacteria; Pseudomonadati; Pseudomonadota; Gammaproteobacteria; Enterobacterales; Enterobacteriaceae. The record is from RNAcentral.